GGAGAGAUGCCGGAGCGGUCGAACGGGUUGGUUUCGAAAACCAAUGUACCCUUUGGGUACCCAGGGUUCGAAUCCCUGUCUCUCCG
This 86-nucleotide transfer RNA is filed under the name Planctomycetota bacterium. RNAcentral describes it as "Planctomycetes bacterium (gut metagenome) tRNA-Ser". It matches the Rfam family "tRNA". Rfam says of the family: Transfer RNA (tRNA) molecules are approximately 80 nucleotides in length. Their secondary structure includes four short double-helical elements and three loops (D, anti-codon, and T loops). Further hydrogen bonds mediate the characteristic L-shaped molecular structure. tRNAs have two regions of fundamental functional importance: the anti-codon, which is responsible for specific mRNA codon recognition, and the 3' end, to which the tRNAs corresponding amino acid is attached (by aminoacyl-tRNA synthetases). tRNAs cope with the degeneracy of the genetic code in two manners: having more than one tRNA (with a specific anti-codon) for a particular amino acid; and 'wobble' base-pairing, i.e. permitting non-standard base-pairing at the 3rd anti-codon position. Lineage: Bacteria; Pseudomonadati; Planctomycetota. The record is from RNAcentral.